AACGAACGCUGGCGGCAUGCCUAACACAUGCAAGUCGAACGAGAUCUUCGGGUCUAGUGGCGCACGGGUGCGUAACGCGUGGGAAUCUGCGCUUUGGUUCGGAAUAACAGUUGGAAACGACUGCGAAUAAAGGAUGAUGACGAAAGUCCAAAGAUUUAUCGCGAGAGGAUGAGCUAGCGUAGGAUUAGCUAGUUGGUGUGGUACAGGCGCACCAAGGCGACGAUCCUUAGCUGGUCUGAGAGGAUGAUCAGCCACACUGGGACUGAGGCACGGCCCAGACUCCUACGGGAGGCAGCAGUGGGGAAUAUUGGACAAUGGGCGAAAGCCUGAUCCAGCAAUGCCGCGUGAGUGAUGAAGGCCUUAGGGUUGUAAAGCUCUUUUACCCGGGAUGAUAAUGACAGUACCGGGAGAAUAAGCUCCGGCUAACUCCGUGCCAGCAGCCGCCGUAA
RNAcentral lists this ribosomal RNA (449 nucleotides) under uncultured bacterium. RNAcentral's name for it is "partial 16S ribosomal RNA". It matches the Rfam family "Bacterial small subunit ribosomal RNA", at positions 29 to 523 of the family's 1533-position model. The record is from RNAcentral.